Molecule: long non-coding RNA, 3828 nt
Filed under: Homo sapiens (human)
Lineage: Eukaryota; Metazoa; Chordata; Mammalia; Primates; Hominidae
Description: HSALNT0251014
Source: RNAcentral
GCGGUUUGGUGCCUGGCACAUAAUAGGGACUUCAUAGACAGUUGUUACUAUUAUUACCUCUUCCCCCACAUUUGGGGUUUGGCAGAGGGAUGUAUUGGCUACAUGGUCAUUAAGGAUCUGUUAAGCACCUCCUAUGCACGAGGGAGAUCACAUGGUAUGGUCCAAGAGUCUUGGAGUUAGAUGUGGGGUUGAAUCCUGGCCCUGUCACUUCAUAGCUGUGUGUGACCUUGUAAAAUUCUGUCUCCUCUCUGAGCUGAAGUUCCCCCACAGGAAAAUAGGGACCGUAAUGCCCAUCUUCCGGGGCCAAUGCUGGAUUCAAUGAGAUAAUGUACAGGGAGUGCCCAGGGCAGUUCUCAGCACACAAUAGUGCCUCUCAGUAAAUAAGAGACGCAGGAUGGAGAGGACAGGCUCAGUUUCUGCUACAGAAGAGCUCUGGGCAGAGCAGCUCAGAACACUUAUCACACCUUUCUCCUUGACCCUCACCUCUCUGGAAGAUUAGAAGCAGAAGAUUUAUUGGAUCAACUUCUCAGCUGUGGAAUCUGAGCAAACAGAAGGGAAGUGGCUGAGGGAGGCCUCAGACCAGCUGUAUCCCUGGACCAGAGGUCACAGCGCUGGCUAAGGAAACCUUCCAUGCAGGAGUGCUGUGAGCUGAGCAGUGCAUAAGAAAAGAGUGUUUGUGGGAAUCAGCAUUUUACCACCUGGCAGACCUGCCUGGGCUGUAGCAGAGCCUCCCCACUCAGUGGACAAGGGACAGGAGGGAUCAAAGGUUGAGGAAAGAUAUUAUUUCAAUCAAGAUAAUGAUUCUACUUCUUGAACGGAAAUGAGAUUUUUUUUCAUUGCCUCAUGGGGGUGCCACCAACAUCUGUCUCCGGGCUGGAACAGGUCAUGAACAAGUUAGAGGAUUUUCUUGUAACCUGAGAGAGAGUGUAAACAUGAAGGAGAACUGAAAGAAGGGAGCUUGCUUGCAAGAGAAAAACAUAUCUGCCAGGCCUCCACGAUUAUAAAAUAAGCUCAAUUUGGAAAAUGUACACUGGCAUUGAACAGAGCAUUCAAGACCGAACUUCAGAAGGUAAGUGUCCGGUGUGAGCCCUACAGCCUGGAAUUCAAGUGAGGUAAAUGGCCUAAAAAUGCCAUGAUAAUACCAAAGAUGCACAGAGGAGACUCAGCUAUGACAGGACCUUAGACGUCUUCUAAGCCUGUUGUCAGGCAGUGUGGAUCAGCUGUGUAACUGUGCUGACGGAUGACCUAGCUCCUGUUUCAGCCCCUUCUACCAGAGGGGGCUCGCCACCAAAAGAACCCAUUCCAUCUUGGACCAGAUCCUGUGUUGAGGAAGUACCUCCAAAUUAUAGUCAAGUCACUGAAUAAAAGGAAACCACAGUGAAAACUCACACGGUGCUGACAAUGCAGGAAAUCUAAAUGCACUUUGGAAACAGAAUACACAAUAUGCAAAUGACAUCAGAUAAUAAAUGCAGGGAGACCUCAAUGAUUUGCACUAAAUAGUGAAGUUAGUGAAAUUUUAAAUUAUUUUAAAUAUUUGGGAAUUCCAGGGGCUGUCAUGCGGUAUCUCAAAUAAUUUGCUUUAAAUAAUAAUUUAAAUUUUAUGUAUAAUUUGCUUUAAAUAAUAAUUAUUAUUUGCAAUGAGAAAUAAAAAUAAUUUAUUAUUUGCAAUUAGAAGUAAAAAUAAUUUUCAAUUCCUAUAUCAAUUGUUUAUAUAGUAACUCUAAAGAGUUCGAAAACGUUUGUAAAGUUCUUAUGCAUUUUAAACAUUCCACUGAGAGCUGAAUCAGGCUAUUAAUUGCUCCCUCUCCAAAGAAAAGGCCUAUUUCGGCUCAAUCCCUUCUGGAAUAACCCCAACUGCUGACUCUAAAGACCCAAGAAGGUGGCACCUUUCUAUACUGCAUCAGAUUCACCAAAAUUUUGGAAUCUAAACCACAGUCUUGUUGGUUGUAGACUAUCAUUGGAAAGUAACACAAAACUCUGGCAAUAUUGGUUGUCUCUAGGACAGGAGCCUGCUUGAGGCCAGAGGUAGAGGGGAGACUUUUUACAAUAUACCUUCUGGUACUUUUGAAUUUAGAGCCUUGAGACGAUACUGUCUGUUAAGAAUAAAAUUCCAGUUAAAAAAGCACAUGUUAUUUUCAGUUAAAAAAACAGACUUCGGGAUUGAUUUCUAUUUUAAUACCUAUACUCCCAAAAUACAAUCUUACUGCAAUGAAAAUUACUGCCAGGUCAGUGAAAAUGACAUUUGGCUGUCUUGACAAGAGUGGUGCUCACACGCAUGAGAAUAAAAGCAAUUGAUGCCCUGCCCAGGUCUCUGUACCUACUCCCCAGCUGCUGAGUGUGGUACACAGCUUUCACUCAUGACAUUCUCGGGUCCUUGCUCUUGGUUGAGGUGAUGCCUUGGAAGCUGCACCACCAGCAACACUCUGGGGGCAGCUGCUGACAAAUAAGGGGACACACAAGCCCUGCCCCCUGCCUCCAAGUCAGACAUCACUGCAGUGCAGUUGAUGUGGACCAGACCCAGGGAGACCUGCCCUGAGACCACAUUCCCACUCAGCUCUUGCUUCUUUACCCUGCUUCCCUCUCUCCUUGACAAGUGUUUCCUAAGAGCUCUCCCUGGAUACAUCACAUCCCACUGAAAACUGACUCAGGCUCUGCUUCUAGGAAGCCCAACCUAAGUCAGUCACCAGUGGCUCAAAAUGAAGCCCUCCAGCAUCUUUUCAGAGGGUUGUCCCAGGAGUUGGAAGCACACGUGAGCCUUCCUCCUUGAAGGCAGCACCAUAACCACCUUCCUGCCUUGCCGAAGACCACCAGUCUGACAUAAUACAGCCCACGAAAGCCAGCAACAGCAAAACAUGGACAUCCAGAACAGACAGAGUUCUGACAACUGGACCCCGUGGCGCAGCACAAUGAUGACUCUUCUUCCCCAGGAUGAAUAAGCAGGAGGCAAGGGCUGAGCCAAAAGGACCUGUUGCAUAAUCUGAGCAAUGUCCAGUUAUGUGCAGCGGAAAGUCAGUGUGGACGUCUUAGGCAGCUCUACCACUUACUAGCAGAGCAAACUAGAGCAAAUAUUGAAUGAUUCUGAGCCUCAGUUUCUUCAUCUGCAAAAUGGGAAUACUGGAUAGAGCCUUUGUAAAGCACCUAUGAGGCAGUACCUUCAAGAGUGCUGCAAAUUGCUCAUCCAAUGUGAAUACUGGCUGUUGUUAUGGAGAUUUAUAACUAGCUACCUUCUCCUGCUUGCUUGGGACAAAUAUUAAUUAAUCAUCAUUAAAUAAAUAUAUCCCAGCUGCCCCUCAUCCUGAGCACAGUACCUAGAGCUCCCUGCGUGAGAAGUGGCUCUGGGGGAAAGGCAAGUGGACAAUUGGGAGUGCUGUAUUGGUGACUGUCCGCCAGGAGCUCAAGAUGUGGCCCCAUUACUGGCCUCACAGGGCUCUGGUGGCCCUUGGCUGCAGCUGUGUGGAGAAUUUUCUCUCUCUCUCUCUCUCUCUCUGUCUUUCUCAUUCCCUCUCUCUCUCUGAGACAAAGGGAGUAUCUCCAAUGCAGAUUUCCUAUAAUCUACUCAGUGUAUAGACUGAUCUCAAAUACAACCUCAAGUUUGUGAAAAAUUCAUGCAGCCAUUUUCAUAUCGUGGAGUGGCCGACAAACAGGCAGAAACUAAAUUUUAUUUACAUAGGUGAAGAAUCCUUUAUUCCAUCCUGAUUCUUUGCAUCUGGACCAUUCCUGAAGCCAUGCCAAGCCCUCCAGCACCUGGCCCUGUCCAACCUCACCAGCAUCUUCUCCCCUCCCACCCUCAGACCCAUGCCUACACCAUCCUCCACAUAGGCAUCCACC